UAUCGGAUUGAUACUAAGCCAUGCGAGUCAUUGCAGUAAUGCAAGGCAGACGGCUCAGUAACGCGUAGUCAACCUACCCUAUGGACGGGAAUAACCUCGGGAAACCGAGUAUAAUGCCCGAUAGAACACUAUUCCUGGAAUGGUUUGUGUUCCAAAUGAUUUAUCGCCGUAGGAUGGGACUGCGGCCUAUCAGUUUGUUGGUGAGGUAAUGGCCCACCAAGACUAUUACAGGUACGGGCUCUGAGAGGAGUAGCCCGGAGAUGGGUACUGAGACACGGACCCAGGCCCUAUGGGGCGCAGCAGGCGAGAAAACUUUGCAAUGUGCGAAAGCACGACAAGGUUAAUCCAAGUGGUUUGUGCUAAACGAACCUUUUGACAGUCCUAGAAACACUGUUGAAUAAGGGGUGGGCAAGUUCUGGUGUCAGCCGCCGCGGUAAAACCAGCACCUCAAGUGGUCAGGAUGAUUAUUGGGCCUAAAGCAUCCGUAGCCGGCUCUGUAAGUUUUCGGUUAAAUCUGUACGCUCAACGUACAGGCUGCCGGGAAUACUGCAGAGCUAGGGAGUGGGAGAGGUAGACGGUACUCGGUAGGAAGGGGUAAAAUCCUUUGAUCUAUUGAUGACCACCUGUGGCGAAGGCGGUCUACCAGAACACGUCCGACGGUGAGGGAUGAAAGCUGGGGGAGCAAACCGGAUUAGAUACCCGGGUAGUCCCAGCUGUAAACUAUGCAAACUCAGUGAUGCAUUGGCUUGUGGCCAAUGCAGUGCUGCAGGGAAGCCGUUAAGUUUGCCGCCUGGGAAGUACGUACGCAAGUAUGAAACUUAAAGGAAUUGGCGGGGGAGCACCACAAGGGGUGAAGCCUGCGGUUCAAUUGGAGUC
Molecule: ribosomal RNA, 876 nt
Filed under: uncultured archaeon
Lineage: Archaea
Description: bacterial SSU rRNA
Rfam family: Archaeal small subunit ribosomal RNA
Source: RNAcentral